Long non-coding RNA from Hevea brasiliensis (rubber tree), 3384 nucleotides. RefSeq lists it as uncharacterized. NCBI's taxonomy places the organism in Eukaryota, Viridiplantae, Streptophyta, Magnoliopsida, Malpighiales, Euphorbiaceae. The record is from RefSeq and is a predicted model, not a curated record. The transcript is spliced from 2 exons.
AACAAAGAGGAUUGUAGGGCUCCAUGGUCAUUUUAGAAACUAAUUUCGUCGGUUUUUAAUCCUUUGUUUAGAGACCAUUUUGUUCAGUUUCAAAACUUAAGGAGGAUUGUGGGAUGUCUCUAUUCAUUUUAUUUAGAAACCGAUUGGUUCGGUUUCCAUUAUGAUUAAAUAAAGUUAAUACUAAAUAUGAAACUGCGUAGUUUUGGAUUAAAACCUAAAUGAGCCUAAAGUAGUAACACAAUCAUCUGUCUCUUUCAUUUGCGUGUAGCCCUCGCCGCACACCAGAUUCCUGUACCCUUGCCUCAUUCCUUCGAUUCCAUCCACUUGCUGUUUUGAUUUCUCCUCUUCGAACAAGAGAGAGACACGCGCAUAGCUCUACCACUAUCAGCUUGGCCUUGCCAAAGUGGAGCUUGAACCUGGAUUCCUCAGUCCUUCUAAUCCCUCUAACUGAGGCUACGGUUUUCGUUUGCUUUCCUCCUCCUCAUCUUUUUCUAUAAAUAUGAUUCAUUCGUGGAUCCUCUUUGUGAUUAUUAUUAGUGGAUUUGAUGUAAAUAUCACUGUUGUGCUUCCUUGUUUGAGUUACUGAUUUGAGAUUUUGAGAUCUUAAGUGUGUUUUGUUGUUCAUUUAAGGGACUUUUCACUCUGCUAAAUAUACCUUGAGAUAGGUUUCAAUUAGUUUAGUUAGUGACUGCAAGUUUAGCCUUUUGAGUUAUUUUCUUAAUGUGCUUUUAUAUUCUAGAAGUUGUAGGAGUAGAGGUUAGAUCAUCCGAAAUUAUUUUAGGAAUUCCAUACGAUAACAUUUGUCAUUUUCUUUGAUUGUAGAGUGUUAAUUGUAAUGAUGGAUUACUCACUUAAAGGUUUACCUUCAAUAUGAAUUGCAUAAGAAUUCUCCUUCUCCAUUUCUCUAAUUUUUUUUUGUCUAAAAUGAUUAUCACCUUAAUAAUAUCAAAAAAAUCAAAUUAGCUAGGAAUAUGAUUGUCGAAUUGGAUUAACAGAUUUAGAUAAAGUGGGAGUGAAAUUUUCGAUAAUUGACAGGGAGCCAAUACAUCAUGCUAUAGCUGUUUAUUAGAAGCUAAUGAUGCAGUGGAGCAAACCCCAAAUGACACACUGCAAUUCGUGUGAUUAAUGUUUUCUUAGUCCCCAAAUUUCACUUUGAUCCCAUCAAGAUGCAAUUUUAUCAUAAUGUUGAUUUUUCUUUUUCCUUCUCAAAUAUUUAUUGUUGUCCUGUCUAUGAAAACUUGUUAUCUUUUUUAUAGAAAUUGUACACAUAAAAUGUUAUAUUAUCUAUUCUCUGUUUUAUAUUAUGUGGAAUCUGUAAAUAGUUUCAUUUAGUAGGGGUUCCCAAAAUAGUGAGGUAACUAAUCCUUGUAUGGUUUCCUAGAAAAUUUAUGAAUAAGGAAAGUUGCUAUUAAGAUGCCAUUAUUAAUGUUACUGAACUGACUAUCUGCCCUCUUAUGGGCCAAUAUUAUAAUUAGUGAUGGGGAAGUUGAACAUAAUUUUGCUGUUAGCAUUUUUUUUUUGUUUUAUGUUUUAUCUGCAGUUCAAUUGAAAUUGGAAUGGCUUUUCUGCUAUAUUGGUGACCUAGGGUUGCUGUUUCUAGGAUGCUUAUAUUGAAAUGCUGGAAAAAAAACUCAAAUAUGGCUGAUUUUGUGUGGCUGAACUCUGCAAUUAUUUGCUCAAUUUUAGAUCUGAUUGCUAUGAUAGGUAAACAAAACUAAACAUUCUAUGCUUUUCAUUGAGAAUUUCAUAGAUAAAGUAUUUUUUAAGAAAAUUAAAAUCAUGACUAAGAAUAUUUUUAAAAUAAAAAAAAUGAUAAAAAUUAAAAAAUUAUCUUUAAAGGGAAUUUCACUUUUAUUCCUUUUACAUUUAUCGAUGAAAUUAAAAUUAAAGAACUUAUUUGAGACUAAUUUUUUCCAAGCAUUUUCAAACAAUUUCAAUUUUUUUAAUGGCUCUUUAAUCCACAUCGACUUGAUCCAGUAAAGUUUUUAUCACUUUGCACAUCAAGAACAAUUUAAAAUUUGUUUCAAAUAAAUUUUUGUACACUUAUUUGAUUUAAUUUCAAUGAAUUUUUUAUUAUUAAAAUUAAUCUUACUUGAAUUAUGGACUAACAUAUUAAUAAAAGAGAAAAUUACAUGUUUCGGAAAAAUAUAUAGACCGUGCUUAAUUAAAAAAUUUUCCUAGUACUAGUUCUACUAUUUUGGCACCAUUAAGGCCACUUGUUGAGUACUGUGAUUAUUGUAGAAUAAUUUAGAUUUACCACCCAACACAUUUGAAAAGUUUUCCUAGUAAAUUUUCUAUGCAUAUUUAUUUAAAUUGCAUAGCCUUAAAGUUCACAAUAGGGAAGUUUCCUGGAACCUUGCUACUGACACCAGCCAAUAAAUAAUCCAAAUUUUCUGAAUUAUGGAGCUAUCAAUUCUAAUUAAAGAGUAAUGGUGAUUUAUCUAUUUAUUAAUUGGCUUUUUACUUUUAUGUUUUAAUGGAUUAAUUGUUAUGACCAAUUCAUGAGGAUAUAUAUAUUGAGAUUAGAAAAAAAAAAAAAAGAAUCUAUAUAUGUAUACUCCAAGGGCUAGCUCCAUGAAGAACAUUUUUUUUCUAUUAACUUUAAAUAUUAAUUAUGAGAUGAUUAAGUGCUUUCUCUUCAUGACUCAAUGAAAUGAUAGUUGACCAUUUGGGAACUAAAUGGUAUUAUUGCUUCUCUGUUUUUCUUACGCUAUACAUCUGUCAGACGUUUUCAUCAUCGUGCUUAUUUUCUUUGUUUUUCCUAAUCUGAUACUAAUAACCUCAUAGAAAUGCGCCUGGUUGUAUGCCUUGGUUGAUGAAUGUAGUUGCUGGUUGAGAGCUUAAUGUCUUAUGAGAAUAUCUGUUUUUCCCAUUCGAAAAUAUAUAGGUUGUCACCAUUACCAGUAAUAGAGGUUGUGUAGGUAAAUUAGACUAAUGCGCUUUAAAUUGACUUUAGAAGAAUCUACAAGAAAAGAUCAUGCUUCAUAAUUGAUGAUUUGGUCAUUGUCACUCCUUACAAAUUGCCUCCUUGGUUAUGUAUGAAGGAUGAGUAUAUGUUCCUAACGGUAAUAGUUCCUGGUCUGAGAAACCCGAAGGACAAAUUGGAUGUGUACUUGUAGCCCCUUAUUGCAGAGUUGAAACAGUUGUGGGAAGUUAGAGUUGAGACAUACGAUGCAUCUAAGAAGAACAAUUUUACAGCCCCAACUCCAGAUGCGACUCAUCAGGAUGAUGGUGGAGAGGCCGAUGGUGGUGAUGAGUGAUGAUAUUGUUGAUGACAAGUAGCUUGUUUUCUUGUUAUUAUGAUAUUUUAUUUUUUCAUACAGUACAUUAUUGUCAUAACUCAUCAUUGUCAUAUCUAUAUAUAAUAUUGACUGAUAUUUGAUA